RNAcentral lists this transfer RNA (72 nucleotides) under candidate division WWE3 bacterium CSP1-7. RNAcentral's name for it is "tRNA-His". It matches the Rfam family "tRNA". Rfam says of the family: Transfer RNA (tRNA) molecules are approximately 80 nucleotides in length. Their secondary structure includes four short double-helical elements and three loops (D, anti-codon, and T loops). Further hydrogen bonds mediate the characteristic L-shaped molecular structure. tRNAs have two regions of fundamental functional importance: the anti-codon, which is responsible for specific mRNA codon recognition, and the 3' end, to which the tRNAs corresponding amino acid is attached (by aminoacyl-tRNA synthetases). tRNAs cope with the degeneracy of the genetic code in two manners: having more than one tRNA (with a specific anti-codon) for a particular amino acid; and 'wobble' base-pairing, i.e. permitting non-standard base-pairing at the 3rd anti-codon position. Lineage: Bacteria; candidate division WWE3. The record is from RNAcentral.
GUGACCGUAGCUCAGCGGUAGAGCGCUUCCCUGUGGAGGAAGAUGCCGUGGGUUCAAAUCCCACCGGUCACC